UGGGGAAUAUUGGACAAUGGGCGAAAGCCUGAUCCUGCCAUGCCGCGUGUGUGAAGAAGGUCUUCGGAUUGUAAAGCACUUUAAGUUGGGAGGAAGGGCAUUAACCUAAUACGUUAGUGUUUUGACGUUACCGACAGAAUAAGCACCGGCUAACUCUGUGCCAGCAGCCGCGGUAAUACAGAGGGUGCAAGCGUUAAUCGGAAUUACUGGGCGUAAAGCGCGCGUAGGUGGUUUGUUAAGUUGGAUGUGAAAUCCCCGGGCUCAACCUGGGAACUGCAUUCAAAACUGACUGACUAGAGUAUGGUAGAGGGUGGUGGAAUUUCCUGUGUAGCGGUGAAAUGCGUAGAUAUAGGAAGGAACACCAGUGGCGAAGGCGACCACCUGGACUAAUACUGACACUGAGGUGCGAAAGCGUGGGGAGCAAACA
RNAcentral lists this ribosomal RNA (427 nucleotides) under uncultured bacterium. Its description in RNAcentral is "partial 16S ribosomal RNA". It matches the Rfam family "Bacterial small subunit ribosomal RNA", at positions 355 to 774 of the family's 1533-position model. The record is from RNAcentral.